CAGUUCGGCUGCAGGCUGCAACUCGCCUGCACGAAGUCGGAAUCGCUAGUAAUCGCGGAUCAGCAUGUCGCGGUGAAUACGUUCCCGGGUCUUGUACACACCGCCCGUCACACCAUGGGAGUCGGAAAUGCCCGAAGCCAGUGACCCAACCUUUAAGGAGGGAGCUGUCGAAGGCAGGUCUGGUAACUGGGGUGAAGUCGUAACAAGGUAGC
Molecule: ribosomal RNA, 212 nt
Filed under: uncultured bacterium
Lineage: Bacteria
Description: partial 16S ribosomal RNA
Rfam family: Bacterial small subunit ribosomal RNA
Source: RNAcentral